RNAcentral lists this ribosomal RNA (265 nucleotides) under uncultured prokaryote. Its description in RNAcentral is "partial 16S ribosomal RNA". It matches the Rfam family "Bacterial small subunit ribosomal RNA", at positions 524 to 788 of the family's 1533-position model. The record is from RNAcentral.
UACGGAGGAUCCGAGCGUUAUCCGGAUUUAUUGGGUUUAAAGGGUGCGCAGGCGGGGGAUUAAGUCGGCGGUGAAAUUUUGCAGCUCAACUGUAAAAGUGCCUUCGAAACUGGUUUCCUUGAGUGUAGAUGAAGUAGGCGGAAUUUGUGGUGUAGCGGUGAAAUGCAUAGAUAUCACGAGGAACUCCGAUUGCGCAGGCAGCUUACUAAACUACUACUGACGCUCAGGCACGAAGGCGUGGAGAUCAAACAGGAUUAGAUACCCU